UACGGGGGGGGCAAGCGUUGUUCGGAAUUACUGGGCGUAAAGGGCGCGUAGGCGGUGCUCUAAGUCGGAUGUGAAAACUCUGGGCUCAACCCAGAGCCUGCAUCCGAAACUGGAGUGCUAGAGUUCUGGAGGGGGUAGCGGAAUUCCUGGUGUAGCGGUGAAAUGCGUAGAUAUCAGGAGGGACACCGGUGGCGAAGGCGGCUACCUGGACAGAAACUGACGCUGAGGCGCGAAAGCUAGGGGAGCAAACGGG
This 253-nucleotide ribosomal RNA is filed under the name uncultured bacterium. RNAcentral's name for it is "partial 16S ribosomal RNA". It matches the Rfam family "Bacterial small subunit ribosomal RNA", at positions 524 to 776 of the family's 1533-position model. The record is from RNAcentral.